GGGGUUGUGGCUCAGCGGUAGAGCACUUGCCUAGCAUGUGCGAGGCUCUGGGUUCAAUCUCAGCACCCACA
Molecule: transfer RNA, 71 nt
Filed under: Ictidomys tridecemlineatus (thirteen-lined ground squirrel)
Lineage: Eukaryota; Metazoa; Chordata; Mammalia; Rodentia; Sciuridae
Description: Spermophilus tridecemlineatus (thirteen-lined ground squirrel) tRNA
Rfam family: tRNA
About the family: Transfer RNA (tRNA) molecules are approximately 80 nucleotides in length. Their secondary structure includes four short double-helical elements and three loops (D, anti-codon, and T loops).
Source: Rfam by way of RNAcentral